Molecule: long non-coding RNA, 1833 nt
Organism: Populus trichocarpa (black cottonwood)
Lineage: Eukaryota; Viridiplantae; Streptophyta; Magnoliopsida; Malpighiales; Salicaceae
Exons: 4
Source: RefSeq, a predicted model, not a curated record
UUGUUUUAUUUUUUUCUGCCCAUCAAGUUUCCUUCGACCCUAGUUGUUUUUUUCCAAUUUAUUAAAGCAUGUGAGAAGCCUCUUGAAAGAAAAGUUCAAAGUGCUGCUGUUCUCUGUUUUUGUAGACGCUUAUAUAGAUAGAUACUGUCAGUGACCUACAAAAAUCUGCAAGAAAUGAUUUUUUUUCUCUCUCAUAGAAAUCAAAGCUUUUAUGUUCAUUUGGACUGUUUCUCUGUUUCUUUGAUCGUUUUCUUCUUGUAGUGAAAGUAAUUGAAACGUUGCAAGUUGUGAGAAUAGAUUCCAUUCUUUUAUGUUUAUGCUCCCUGGGCUAACCGCCUCAUAGUAACUAUUUUGUAGGUAUGGCCUUUGGGCUACAUUGUUUUUCCUUUUGAUGUUUCUUUGCUAGCAAAACCCCAUCCAAACAAUAAAAUGUAGCACUAGGACAUGCAAUGCAUUUUUUUGUUAGUUCAGUAAUUAAUACUUGAUUAUAGAUGUUAGAAGUGGCAAUUCUUGCCAUGCCGAUGAACACACAUGGGUGUCAAUAAGCAAGUCCAGCACGAUCUUUUCUUGUUGUCUUUUGAUUAUUGUAUGAUAUGAAUUAUUCACAAUGUUUUCAUAUUAGGUAUAUGAAAAAUCUUCAAAGCAUCCACUGUUUUUCAAUGGCAUCCUCAUUUUUUGCUGAACUUCACACGUUUAAUGGACGAGUAGUGCAUGUGUUUAUAAGAAGAAUAUUGUUUGCGAGUUUGUAAAUUUGGAUUGGCUUAGCUCUAGGAUGAGUGGUUGCAUUGCCAUGAAUAUUAUUGAAGAACAGAUCAUAGGUAGUUCAGUAUUUAGUCUUUUUUGCUGUCUUUAGACAUUGUUUCCUCUUAACUCUUACAAGUGUUUGAUUUAAUGAAAAGCUAGUGUUUCAGUAUUCACUUAGGUUCCAUGUUUUUGGUAUUGGACAGCUAUUGAUGGGUUUCCGCAAUUGUAGAUCUGAUGUUCAACAAUAUAUAAACUAUUUGAACUUCAUAACUAAUUUGAUUCAACCGCAGAAUGCAGGGACUCCUUCAUUCUCCAUAGGAAUCACUGAAAUUCUUAACACAAACCCUCUGAUAGAACUAACCACUGAUGACAUUGGAUACGUCUACCAAAGGAGCCCAGGAAAACUGUUAAGUGUCACUAUUCCGACAUUUGAAACCCUUACUCAAUUUGGCGUUGCCACUGUCUCUGCUAAGAAUAUUGGUUAAGUGGAAGCAUCAUAUAGCUUAACGUUUGACUGCUCAAAAGGUGUUGCGGUCAUGGAGGUAACAUUAACUACCAUAUAGAUUCUAAUUCCUAACCAUUCGUGAAGGAUACAAUCCAAUUUCAAUGUUUCAAUGGUUGCAAGAACAAUUCUUCAUUUUGAAGCUGAGCGAGGUUACAAUUCGGUCAUUUAAAAUUUACCCAGCAACUGAUAAAGCUGCAAGAUAUGUAUGUGCUGCUAUACUGAAGGACUCUAGUUUUAAUGAAACUGAUCCAGCAGAAUGCCAAUUGUUUACUACUGCCACCAUCCUUGAAAAUGGAGCACGGGUUUGGGGGCAGUUACAGAAUUGUUUUAUCAAGUAUAGUCACUAAAAACUUUACCCAGCAACUGGUCAAUUUUCUACUCAAGCAAGCAAGAUUUCUAUGAACAAUUUCUUAUGCGGAGCAAAAGGAUUUGGAACUGAUUGUAGCAAAAUAAGAAAAGAAAAAAGAAAAUUUGUAUGUCGUAUGCGAGACUAUGCGUAGGUUCAGUAGUCCAUUUGUGUUUCCUAUGGUGUGGCUGAAAGCUUGUAGAUGAUUGUUUUGCCAUUCAGUGGCUUACAAUUUAUG